GGCUCAGAACGAACGCUGGCGGCGCGCCUAAUACAUGCAAGUCGAACGAGAAUGUGUAGCAAUACACAUGUACAGUGGCGAACGGGUGAGGACUACAUGGGUAACCUACCCUCGAGUGGGGAAUAACUAGCCGAAAGGUUAGCUAAUACCGCGUACGCUUCCCAGACUGCGGUUUGGGAAGGAAAGCGAUACCGUGGGUAUCGCGCUCUUGGAUGGGCUCAUGCCCUAUCAGCUUGUUGGUGAGGUAACGGCUCACCAAGGCUUCGACGGGUAGCUGAUCUGAGAGGAUGAUCAGCCACAUUGGCACUGCGACACGGGCCAGACUCCUACGGGAGGCAGCAGUAAGGAAUAUUGCGCAAUGGGCGAAAGCCUGACGCAGCGACGCCGCGUGGGGGAUGAAGGUCUUCGGAUUGUAAACCCCUUUCGGGAGGGAAGAUGGGAUGGGGUAACCCAUUCGGACGGUACCUCCAGAAGCAGCCACGGCUAACUUCGUGCCAGCAGCCGCGGUAAUACGAAGGUGGCAAGCGUUGUUCGGAUUUACUGGGCGUACAGGGAGCGUAGGCGGUUGGAUAAGCCCUCCGUGAAAUCUCCAGGCUUAACCUGGAAAGUGCAGAGGGGACUGUUCAGCUAGAGGAUGGGAGAGGAGCGCGGAAUUCCCGGUGUAGCGGUGAAAUGCGUAGAGAUCGGGAGGAAGGCCGGUGGCGAAGGCGGCGCUCUGGAACAUUUCUGACGCUGAGGCUCGAAAGCGUGGGGAGCAAACAGGAUUAGAUACCCUGGUAGUUCACGCCUUAAACGAUGGAUACUAAGUGUCGGCGGGUUACCGCCGGUGCCGCAGCUAACGCAGUAAGUAUCCCGCCUGGGAAGUACGGCCGCAAAGUUGA
RNAcentral lists this ribosomal RNA (881 nucleotides) under uncultured bacterium. RNAcentral's name for it is "bacterial SSU rRNA". It matches the Rfam family "Bacterial small subunit ribosomal RNA", at positions 21 to 897 of the family's 1533-position model. The record is from RNAcentral.